AAAGAAAUUAGGUUCAAUCUUCAAGCCAAGGGCCUUCAAAGCCCUAGAUAGGAGUUAGCAAUCUCCUAUUUCUUGA
Molecule: non-coding RNA, 76 nt
Organism: Crocodylus porosus (Australian saltwater crocodile)
Lineage: Eukaryota; Metazoa; Chordata; Crocodylia; Crocodylidae
Source: Ensembl